GCUGUGCGCGACUCCUUUCGCCUUUCCCCGGUUAUGCUAAAGUAGUGAGCUGCGCUGUGUGGAGUAAGCCCGUCAAACUCGGCGGAUAUACUCUCGGAAAGGAAAUUCUAUCUGUACAGAUGAUAUCACUGUUGAAGUAUUUGGAACUUGUGGACCUUGAAUACCAGAGGACCUUACUGGGAAAAGAAUCUCUCUUUAGAGGCAUCAGGAGAAUAUGCAGAUGGAGCAAGAUUGAUGAUCAGACUCAAUCAAGGUGGAGGACACAAAACCCCUCUCACUUAGACAAGCUUAUAGGAAAACAGCUUUAAGUUCCACUGAAUGCAGAACUCUCAGCAAAUUUGCAGAGACAAAAGAACAGCAAAGGAUACUAGCAAAGGAUAUCUUAUUUUUUUUCCAGUUGAAUGGAGAACACUAGAAUGAGUAAGAACAUUAUUGGAUGCCUCCAGAACCUG
Molecule: non-coding RNA, 452 nt
Organism: Python bivittatus (Burmese python)
Lineage: Eukaryota; Metazoa; Chordata; Lepidosauria; Squamata; Pythonidae
Source: RefSeq, a predicted model, not a curated record